AGUGAACGCUGGCGGUAGGCCUAACACAUGCAAGUCGAACGGCAGCACAGGAGAGCUUGCUCUCUAGGUGGCGAGUGGCGGACGGGUGAGGGAUACAUCGCAAUCUGCCCAGUCGUGGGGGAUAACGUAGGGAAACUUACGCUGAUACCGCAUACGCCCUUCGGGUGAAAGAGGGGGAUCGCAAGACCUCUCGCGAUUGGAUGAGCCGAUGUCGGAUUAGCUAGUUAGCGGGGUAAUGGCCCACCAAGGCGACGAUCCGUAGCUGGUCUGAGAGGAUGAUCAGCCACACUGGAACUGAGACACGGUCCAGACUCCUACGGGAGGCAGCAGUGGGGAAUAUUGGACAAUGGGCGCAAGCCUGAUCCAGCCAUACCGCGUGGGUGAAGAAGGCCUUCGGGUUGUAAAGCCCUUUUGUUGGGAAAGAAAACUUUCAGGCUAAUACCCUGGGAGGAUGACGGUACCCAAAGAAUAAGCACCGGCUAACUUCGUG
Molecule: ribosomal RNA, 490 nt
Filed under: uncultured bacterium
Lineage: Bacteria
Description: partial 16S ribosomal RNA
Rfam family: Bacterial small subunit ribosomal RNA
Source: RNAcentral